UCUUGCUGUUUAUGAGUCUGGUGGUCCUGGCAUGGAUGCUGUGCAGCCUCCUCCUGAUGGGAGAGGGACAAACAGUUUGAGUUAAUCAGCUGUGAAUGACGGAGACUGAGUCAAUUACCAGACAGGUCUAGAGUAUAAAGACGAUGAAAUAGUAUAAUACUUCCAAUCAUUGUUUUCCAAAUCAGUACCCUGGUCCACAGUUUGGUGAAUGGGAAUUAAGAGAGUAGCUGAACACAUAGCUCACUAGCAAUACUAGAUCAUCACCACAAUAUCCCAUGUGACUUAUUAAGAAGCUAUCUUGUCCAGAUUAGCAUUAUCAUUGUGACGUUUAAAGCAGAUUUAUCACUUCCUGGAACAAGGGGAGGAAACAGAAGACUAGUCUCUUACAUUGUGAUUUAUUUUAGGUACCUAGUUUUAGGUACCUAAUAAAGUAGUCACUAGUGUAUACGUAUUUGUGGCCCUCCAUUACUGUAGCCUAUCCACUUCAAGGUUUGACAUGCUGUAAGUUCAGAGAUGCUCUUCCACACAGUACUAUUUUAAUAUGUGGUUAUCUGAGUUACUAUCACCUUCCUGUCAGCUAAACCCCUGGUCAGCCGUUCUCCUCUGACCUCUUAUUAACACAGCAUUUUACCCGCAGAAAUAACGCUCAUUGGAUUUUUGUUUUCCGCACCAUUCUCUGUAAACUCUAGAGACUGUUGUGCAUGAAAAUCCCAGGAAUUCAGCAGUUUCUGAGAUACUCAAACCACCCUGCCUGGCGCCAACCAUCAUUUCACAGUCAUAGUCACUAAAUCACACUUCUUCCCCAUUUUGACAUUUGGCUUGAAUAACAGGUGAACCUCUUAACCAUGUCUGCAUGCUUUUAUGUACUGAGUUGCUGCCACAUGAUUGGCUGAUUAGAUAUUUGAAUUAACAAGCAGUUGUAUAGGUGUACCUAAUAAAGCGGCCACUGUUUGUAUAUCCCGUCCCUCCAUCCUAUAAAUGAAAUCCCUGUAAAUCUCCCGCUAAUAAACAGAGGCAAUGGCUUCGGUACAUGAGUUGUAGGAAAUAUAUCCUGUUCUUUCAUUCUAUAUAUGAAAUCUCUGUAAAUCUCCCUCUAAUAGAAAGUGGCAACCCCUUCACGAGAUGAAUUCCAAGGAUUUUAUACAGUUAUCUCAGAAUGGCAAUAAAUUUUGAACUUGCAAUGUCUAUCUCCAGUUAUUGUUUUAUGGAAAUUAAACAACUGUAGUAUUAUUCAAAGCAGGAUUAAACAGGGAUUAGUUUAGUUUAGCCAGCAUAGUUCUUUGAGACUGAAAGUAUUCUAUUAGAAUUAAUAAUUGGCAUGGCUAUAAGAAUUUAAGCCACUCGGCUCUCCACAGACAUACACAGAGAAACUAAUUAUUCUCCAAAGACAAGGCAAGAAGAUAAAAGAUGAUUGAUUUCUCCUGAAGUGGGAUAUCCCCCUCUAGUGGCCCAACACACCAUUACAACUGGAAAAAGUGCUCUGUUUUUUCUGAUGCUGUGCAUUGGAACCUACAUUGCAGAUGGGGAUGCAACCGGUCACCAUGCUCUCCACAGUACAGCUACAGAAAUUUGCUAGAGUCUUUGGUGACAUACCGAAUCCCCUUAAACUCCUAAUGAAAUAUAGCGGCUAGCAUGUCUUCUUUGUGACUGCAUUGAUAUGUUGGGCCAGGAUGGCUCGCUAUGAUGCUGACACCCAGGAACUUGAAGUUGGUCACCCAUUCCACUGCUAACCCCUCAAUGAGGUCUGGUGUGUGUUCUCCCGACUUCCCCUUCCUGAAGUCCACAAUCAAUUCCUUGGUCUUACUGACAUCCAGUGAAAAUUUUCAACACCACUGAACCAGCCAAUCUAUCUCACACCUGGACAUCUCCUUGUCACUAUCUGAUUCUGCCAACAAGAGUUGUGUCCCUCACAAAUUUAUAGAUGGUGUAUAGUUCUGAUUCACAAAGCAAAUCAAAGAACGUAGAUCAUUUCAGUAUUGCACAGGAACAGGUCUUUCAGCCCAUGAUGUUGUGCCAAACUAAUUAAGAAACUAAUUCAGUGCCCAAUUAAACUAAUCCCUUCUGCCUGCACAUGACCCACUCAUUUCCAUGUCCUGCACAUUAACAUUGCUAUACAAGAGCCUCUUAAAUUCUUCCUUCAUAUUUACAUCCACCACCAUCCUGGUAGUACAUCCUGGUACCAUCACUCUAUGUAAAAAAAAUCUGUCUCAUUCAUCUCCUUUGUACUUUCCCCAAUUCAUCUUAAAUGAAUGCUCUCUAGUAUUAGAUUUGGAUGCUUUGUCCCAGUUAACAUUACAAUGAAAGGGUCUAUUGAUCAAUCACAGUUUCUUGAUCAUUGAUUACAAGUUCAACACUGUAUAAAUACCACAUUUCUGGACAUGGUUUUUCCUUAGUAUAAGAAAAGGGCAGUCAUCCCAAUGCAAUAGGUCUUUAGAUAAUAAAUCCAAUUUAUUCCUGUCGACAUGCUCAGAGAUGGAGUUGGAACUCCUGAAAGACAUUCCAAUUAAUGCUUUUGUUCAGAAGCAAAUUGAAGUCUGUGCAUGGGGUCAAACCCAUUCCAGUCCAGCACUGGAAUCAACUUGAACUGUUGACUCCAGAGGAAUUCAGUUGCUUUGGGUGGUGGAACAGACUAAGCAACAUUGCUUUCCAUUUUAAAGCAUCAUAGCCCAAACCGAAAGACCAUUUCUCUUCUCAUUGCUGCCAUCAGAGAGGAGGUACAGGAGCCUGAAGACACACACUCAGUGUUUUAGGAACAGCUUCUUCCCCACCGCCAUCAGAUUUCUGAACAGCCCAUGAACACUACGUCAUUAUUUUUCUCUCCUUUUGUGCCCUUAGAAUUUUAAAUCUGCACCUCCAGUCCUUUGAUGAUAUACUCAAGAUUCAAAAUUGUUUAUUGUCAUUCGUCAGUACACAAGUGUAAAGGAGAACAAAAUUAUUGUUACUCUGGAUCCAAUGCAGCAUCAACAAAAAAAAACAAGCAUAAGGAACACAAUGAAAAACACACUUUGCAGAUUCAGAAAUAUUCCAAUAGGAUCUGGUGUGUCACCAAAGACUCCAGCGAAUCUCUACAGAUGUGCCAUACAGAGCAUUCUAACUGGUUGCAUCACCGUUGCACAGGGUUGGAAAAAGCUGCAGUAAAUUGCAACAACACACACAAAAUACUGGUGGAACACAACAGGCCAGGCAGCAUCUAUAAAGAGAAGCACUGUCGACGUGUCGGGCCGAGACCCUUCGUGAGGACUCAUUAAGUUGCAUUAAAUCAAAGUCAAUAAAUUGCAAACUCAGCCAGCUCCAUCAUGAGCACUGGCCUCCCCAAUAACAUCAAGGAGAUCUUCAAAACAUGAUGCCUCAAAAAGGCAGCAAGAAAUAUUAAAAAACCCCAUCACCCAAGACAUGCCCUCUUCUCAUUGCUAAUGUACAGGAGCCUGAAGACACACACUCAAUGUUUUAGGAAUAGUUUCUUCCCCUCCAUUGUCAGAUUUCCGAAUGGACAAUGAACCAACCCAUGAGCACUUCACUAUUUUUGCUAUUUCCACUAUUUAUUUAAUUAAAUGUAUUUCUUAUCCUCAUUUAUAGUUUGUUUUUUAUAUAUUGUGCUGCACUGCUGCAACAAAAAAACUGUGGACUGAAGGAGACAGGGAGAGGGGAAUCAUGGUUGGGAAAAGGGGAAGGGAGAGGGAAGGGAAAGGGAGUGGGAAGCACCAGAGACAUUCUGUAAUGAUCAAUAAACCAGUUGUUUGUAAUCGAGUAACCUUGCCUGGUAUCUCAGAGCUGGGCACAUUGCACUUGCACUACCCCUCACCCCCCCCCCCCCCACACACCCUAGCACUCCUUCUCUGCCAUCUGUCCCACACCCCUCUCGCGACAUCCCACCCUUGCCAUUCCCAACAUCCAUUACUCCCACCAGAUUUACAAACUCACUCUCUGCUCCAUGUUGGGCACUCAGUCACCCUAGUUAUAUAUACAGUAGCAAAGUACUGUAUUAAACCUGAUUCUGAUCUUUAAUAAACAAAAACAUCAAGCAUUUAAAUUCUUUUAUGCUACAGAAUAAUGAUAGAGAGAAUUUGGAUCCAUCAGCACCUGUUUCUCAUGUAUAAAUUGCACUUAAAAAUUAAUUUUGCCUGAGUUAGAUAAAAGUUAUUGAACUAUUUCUGGGCAAAAUUAUGUCCAGUGGGAGCAGGCAUUCCCAGGUGGAAUUUACCUUAGUACAGCUGGUACUUGUGAUGCAGCAAAUGUUGCACAACAUACUUAAUGAAGUAAAUCAAAGCUCAUAGGUGCAAACCAAGAUCUUCACUAAAAAUCCAAUAAAAAGCUCUACUGAGAUCAGUUUUGUUCUAAUAUCUAUAUGCUGCAUACUCUUACAAUGUUAGAAAUCCGAUGACUGAUUGCUACAUCCAUUUUGCUGCCUUAUUAUAGAACCCACUUAUGAUCUUAGAUCUCAAGUAAUGAUGAGUUGGCAUACAGGAAAGAGAUAUAGAGCCUGGCAACAUGACAACAACCUUCCCCUCACUGUCAGCAAAACAAGAUCUGUUCAUUGACUUCAUGAGGGGUACAAUGCACACAAUACAUCAAUAGUGCUGAAGUAGAGAUGGUUGAGUGGGUCACGUUCCUGGGAGUAAACAUCACCAAGAGCAUGCCCUGCUUCCGCAGCAUAGGUACCGCGGCCAAGAAAGCGCACUAGCGCCUCGACUCCCUCAGCUCAAAACAUUUUCCUUGACCUUCACCAAUUUUUGUUGGCACAUUACGGAAAGCAUCCUAUCUUAAUACACAAGAUGCUGGAGGAUGCUGCCCGAUCUGCUGAACUCCUCCAGUGUUUUGUUUAUGCUGUCAACAUCUCUGAGAAUCUAUCCAUGACUCAGCAUAUCAAUAGUUACAAAGAAGGUGUGACAGCAGGUAUAUUUCAUUAAGAGUUUGAGGACAUUUGGUUACAUCAGCCAAAGACACUCGCAAAUAUCUACAGAUGUACUGUGGAGAGUAUUUUAACCAGCUGCAUCAAGUCUGGUGGGCCACGGGAGCACUGGAUAGGAUUGAAAUAAGCUGCAGAAACUUGCAAACUCAGUCAGCUGCACCUUGGGCAAUAGCCUGUCCAGCAUCCAGGAAAUCUGCAAGGAGCAAUGCCUCAAAAAGGUGGCAUCCAUCAUUAAGGACCUGCAUCACCCAGGACAUGGCCUAUUCUCAUUGACACCAUCAGGGAAGAGGUUCAAGAGCCUGAAGGCACACACUUAACAAUUCAGGAACAGCUUCUUCCAUUCUGCUAUCAGCUUUCUGAAUGGACAUUGAACUCAUGAACACUGCCUUACUGCUUUUUUUUCUCUUUUUGCACUAUUUAUUAAAUUUAACUUUUAAAAUAUAGACAUAUGUACUCAGUGUAAUUUACAGUUUUUACUAUUAAGUAAUACAAUGUACUGCCGCAUAACAACAGAUCUCAUGAUAUGCAGUAUGCCGGUGAUAGCAAACCUGAUUUUGAUUCCUAGAGUAGGUUAAAGGGUUGGCACAACAUUAUGGGCUGAAGGGCUUCUACUGUGCUAUACUCUAAACACAAGAUAUCCUGCAGAUGCCGUAAAUCCAGAGUAACACACACAAAAUGCUGACAGAACUCAGCAGGUCAGGCAGCAUCUAUGGAAAGAAAUAAACAAUCAACAUUUCAGGCCAAGACACUUCAUCAAGACCCUUCAUCUGUGCUGUAUUGUUCUAUAGAGUCACCGAGAAGUACAACACAGAGACAGACCCUUUGGCCCACUGCCUACUCCCGCUGACCUGCAUGGAGACCAAAGCCCUGCAUGCCCCUACUAUCCACAUACCUAUUCAAACUUCCCAUAAGUGUUGAAAUCAAGCUUGCAUGCACCACUUGUACUGGCUGCUCAUUCCACCCUCUGAGUGAAGAAGUUUCCCCUCCUGUCCCUCUUAAACUUCCCACCGUUCACCCUUAACCCAUGACCUCUGGUUGUAGUCCUAACCAACCUACUUGCAUUUCCCAUAAUUUUGUAUACCUCUAUCAAAUCUCCUCUCAAUCAUCUAUAUUUUAAAGAAUACAGUCUUAACCUAUUCAAUCUUUCCUUAGAACUCAGGUCCUCCAGACCUGGCAAUAUACUUGUAAAUUUUCUCUACACUCUUUCAACCUUGUUUACCUCUUUCCUGUAAGUAGGUGGCCAAAACUGCACACAACACUCCAAAUUAGGCCUCACCGAUGUCUUAUACAACUUCAAUAUAAUGACCAUCUCCUGUACUCAAUAGACUGAUUUAUGAAGGCCAAUGUGCCAAAAGCUUUCCUUACUAUCCUUGAUGCCACCUUCAAUGAAUUAUGGACCUGUAUUCCCAGAUCCCUUUGUUCUACCACACUCCUCAGUGCCCUACGGUUCACUUUGGAAGACCUACCCUGGUUGAUUCUAUCAAACUGCAAAACCUCGCACUUGUCUGCAUUAAAUUCUAUCCGCCAUUUUCGGCCCAUUUUUCCAGCAGGUGCAUAUCUCUGCAAGCGAUGAUAACCUUCCUCACUGACCACUACACCCCCAAUCUUGGAAUCAUCUGUAAAUUUGCUGAUCCAGUUAACCAUAUUAUCAUUCAGAUCACUGACAUAGAUGACAAACAAAAGACCCAGCACCAAUCCCAGUCACUCACCACAAGUCACAGACCUCCAGUUAGAGAGGUAACCCUCUACUAUCACUCUCUGGCUUCUCCCACAAAACCAAUGGCAAAUCCAAUUAACUACCUGAUCCUGAAUGCCAAGCUACUGAAGCUUCUUGUCCUGCCUUCUAUGUGGGACCUUGUCAAAUGCCUUACUAAAGUCCACGUAGACAACAUCCACUGUCUCGCCUUCAUCCACUUUCCUGGUAACUUGCUCGAAAAACUCCAUGAGAUUGGUCGGUUGUGACCUAUCACACAUGAAGUCAUGCUGACUAUCCUUAAUUAGUCCGCAUCUAUCCAAAUACUUAUAUAUCUGGUGCCUUAGAAUACCUUCCAAUAACUUUUGCACAACUGAUAUCAGACUCGCCAGCCUAUGAUUUUUUGGUUUACAUUGCCUUUUUAAACAGCGGAACAACAUUAGCUAUCCUCCAAUUUACUGGUACCUCUUCUAUCACUAAGAAUGAUUUAAAUAUCUCUGCUAGGGUCCCAACUAUUUCUGCACUUGCCUGCCACAGAAACCAAGGCAACACUUUGUCAGGCCCUGGGAUUUAUCCACCCUAAUUUGUCUCAGGGUAGUUGUUACGUCCGUGGCCCCCUCCUUUUUGAGAAUUGCAAGAUCACUAUUAAGUCAGUUCAGGAGACCCAGGAAAUGAGAAAGACAUGCAGAAUCCACAAAGAGUUUGGAAUGUGUCCUGGCCUGCGAAAGGCGGAACCAUUGAUAACGGCUAUUGUCUCUUGGAGACUGAAUUGUGUAUUGAAUCCUGUACGAUGCAUCGAAGCCCCCCAGGCAAUGAACCCGGGGGGGUUGGUGGAGGGAUUGCAUCAUCCCAAACUGAUUGACAUCUGAGACCCUGUGAGUCAGGAUAAAAGAGGGUCUGGGGAAUAGCCCCUUCAGAUGCACCAGAAGAAAUGCUAGAACUCCUGUAACAGCGUAACAGCGAAAGCCGGUGGGAAAGCCCACUUGUGUCCUUUUCCAUUUGCCUUGGAAUUGGUGGGGCCUUUACCACAGAAGCAUGGCUUUAGCUAACCACAAAGGGGAAAUCAGUCCCCAACAACUCUUGAAGGAUUGACAUCAUAAAAGGAAUGGGCAAGUUAAACCUCCGUCUUUCUCUCCAACCAAAAAGCUGCAGCUUGAAUGAACUUGAGUGACUUUUACAUUUCCAUCGGACAAUACAUUAUCCCCUAGACAACGAUAGAGGUAUUUCUUAUUGAUUAUUAUUAUACCCUCGCUUUUAGAUUUAGUAUUGAUGACGUAUAUUAUCUGUAUGUUUGCAUUGAUAUUAUCUUUGUGUAUUUUUAUCAAUAAAUACUGUUAAAAAUAGUACCAUCAGACUUCAACGGACCUCUCUAUCUUUGCUGGUAAGUGACCCAGUUAUGGGGUAUGUAACAGUAGGAAACACUUCCACCUCUGUAAUCUGUACAGGGUCCGUGAAGUUGACGCCGC
Hypanus sabinus (Atlantic stingray) is the source of this 8068-nucleotide long non-coding RNA. RefSeq lists it as uncharacterized. Lineage: Eukaryota; Metazoa; Chordata; Chondrichthyes; Myliobatiformes; Dasyatidae. The transcript is spliced from 3 exons. The record is from RefSeq and is a predicted model, not a curated record.